Molecule: ribosomal RNA, 880 nt
Filed under: Salmonella enterica subsp. enterica serovar Kentucky
Lineage: Bacteria; Pseudomonadati; Pseudomonadota; Gammaproteobacteria; Enterobacterales; Enterobacteriaceae
Description: partial 23S ribosomal RNA
Rfam family: Bacterial large subunit ribosomal RNA
Source: RNAcentral
GGGCGUUAAGUUGCAGGGUAUAGACCCGAAACCCGGUGAUCUAGCCAUGGGCAGGUUGAAGGUUGGGUAACACUAACUGGAGGACCGAACCGACUAAUGUUGAAAAAUUAGCGGAUGACCUGUGGCUGGGGGUGAAAGGCCAAUCAAACCGGGAGAUAGCUGGUUCUCCCCGAAAGCUAUUUAGGUAGCGCCUCGUGAAUUCAUCUCCGGGGGUAGAGCACUGUUUCGGCUAGGGGGCCAUCCCGGCUUACCAACCCGAUGCAAACUGCGAAUACCGGAGAAUGUUAUCACGGGAGACACACGGCGGGUGCUAACGUCCGUCGUGAAGAGGGAAACAACCCAGACCGCCAGCUAAGGUCCCAAAGUCAUGGUUAAGUGGGAAACGAUGUGGGAAGGCCCAGACAGCCAGGAUGUUGGCUUAGAAGCAGCCAUCAUUUAAAGAAAGCGUAAUAGCUCACUGGUCGAGUCGGCCUGCGCGGAAGAUGUAACGGGGCUAAACCAUGCACCGAAGCUGCGGCAGCGACACUGUGUGUUGUUGGGUAGGGGAGCGUUCUGUAAGCCUGCGAAGGUGUCCCGUGAGGGAUGCUGGAGGUAUCAGAAGUGCGAAUGCUGACAUAAGUAACGAUAAAGCGGGUGAAAAGCCCGCUCGCCGGAAGACCAAGGGUUCCUGUCCAACGUUAAUCGGGGCAGGGUGAGUCGACCCCUAAGGCGAGGCCGAAAGGCGUAGUCGAUGGGAAACGGGUUAAUAUUCCCGUACUUGGUGUUACUGCGAAGGGGGGACGGAGAAGGCUAUGUUGGCCGGGCGACGGUUGUCCCGGUUUAAGCGUGUAGGCUGGUUUUCCAGGCAAAUCCGGAAAAUCAAGGCUGAGGCGUGAUGACG